RNAcentral lists this long non-coding RNA (1078 nucleotides) under Cairina moschata (Muscovy duck). RNAcentral's name for it is "domestica (muscovy Duck (domestic type)) lncRNA (ENSCMMG00000002233.1)". The record is from RNAcentral. Lineage: Eukaryota; Metazoa; Chordata; Aves; Anseriformes; Anatidae.
AAAAGGAAGGGAAAAGGGGUGGCAGGAGCCGCCCAGCCCCGGCCCCCCCGGACCUGCGGCGGGCAGAGCUGCAGGGCCAGCAGGAGGCAGAGCGGGGCCCGGCCCCGCCGCAUCGCGGCCACGGGCACGGGGCCGAGCCGGGCCGAGCCGCGCCCCCGCGGCCGCUGCUGAGCGGGGAGCGCCCGGAGCCGGCCCCGGGCACGGCUCGGCCCGGCUCGGGUCAGUUCAGGCCAAUUUAUCCCGGCUUGGCUUGUCCCGGCUCGGUUUGUCCCGGUUCGUCCCGGUUCGGCUCGUUUUGUCCCGGAUUGUCCCGGUUCGUCCCGAUUUGUCCCGGUUCGUCCCGGUUCAGCCCGGCAGGUCCCGGUGCUGCUCCCUUAUCCCGGCUCGGCUCGGUUCAGCCCAGCCCGGCUCGGUUCAGCCCGGCUCGGCGCGGCCCCGCAGGGAGGGGCGAGGCGCCACGCCAUUGGCUGACGCCGGAGGGGGCGGGGCCGGGGGCGGGGCCACGCCCGGCACGGCUCGGCACGGCUCCGGCCCCGCUGGGUUUGGCCCGGGUGGGAGCCGAUGGGGUUGGGGUCAGACCCUGCCCCUUGUGUGGGUGUAGGUACGGUGUGGGUACGGGUAGGGGUAGGUAUGGUGUAGGUAGAGGUAGGUGUAGGUAUGGUGUGAGUAGGGGUAGGGGUAGGUGUAGGUAUGGUGUGUGUAGGUGUACGUAUGGUGUGUGUAGGGGUAGGUGUAUGUAUGGUGUGAGUAGGGAUAGGUGUUGGUGUAUGUAUGGUGUGUGCAGGGGUAGGCGUACAUGUAGUUGUACAUAUGGCGUGUGUAGGGGUAGGUAGAGGUGUACGUGUGGUGUGUGUAGGGGUAGGUGUACGUACGGUGUAGGUAGGGCUAGGUGUAGGUGUAGUUAUGGUGUGCGUAGGGGUAGGUGUAGGUGUAUGUAUGGUGUAUGUAGGGGUAGGUGUAGGUGUAGGUACGGUGUGUGUAGGGGUAGGUGUAGGUGUAGGUACGGUGUGUGUAGGUGUAGGUACAGUAGGUGUAGGUGUAUGUAUGGUGUGUGUAGAGGUAGGUGUAGGUACAGUGU